RNAcentral lists this ribosomal RNA (401 nucleotides) under uncultured bacterium. Its description in RNAcentral is "bacterial SSU rRNA". It matches the Rfam family "Bacterial small subunit ribosomal RNA", at positions 359 to 776 of the family's 1533-position model. The record is from RNAcentral.
GAAUAUUGCACAAUGGGCGCAAGCCUGAUGCAGCAAUGCCGCGUGAACGAAGAAGGAUUUCGGUCUGUAAAGUUCUUUUCUGUGUGACGAGAGUGGACGGUAGCACAGGAAUAAGUCUCGGCUAACUACGUGCCAGCAGCCGCGGUAAGACGUAGGAGGCGAGCGUUAUCCGGAGUUACUGGGCGUAAAGCGCGUGUAGGCGGAUUAGUAAGUUACUUAUGAAAGCUCCUGGCUAAACUGGGAGAGGUUGAGUGAUACUGCUAGUCUAGAGUGGAUGAGAGGUUAACGGAAUUCCGCGUGUAGUGGUGAAAUGCGUAGAGAUGCGGAAGAACACCAGUGGCGAAGGCGGUUAACUGGCAUCCAACUGACGCUCAGACGCGAAAGCAUGGGUAGCGAACGGG